RNAcentral lists this ribosomal RNA (489 nucleotides) under uncultured bacterium. RNAcentral describes it as "bacterial SSU rRNA". It matches the Rfam family "Bacterial small subunit ribosomal RNA", at positions 29 to 514 of the family's 1533-position model. The record is from RNAcentral.
UGCGAACGUUUGCGGCGGGCCUAACACAUGCAAGUCGAACGCACUAGCAAUAGUGAGUGGCGCACGGGUGCGUAACACGUGGGUAAUCAACCCUUCAGCCUGGGAUAACGACUCGAAAGGGUCGCUAAUACCGGAUACGGCGCGAGAGGCUUCGGCUUCUCACGAGAAAGCCACGCAAGGGGCACUGAAGGACGAGCCUGCGGCCCAUCAGCUAGUUGGUGAGGUAAGAGCUCACCAAGGCUAAGACGGGUAGCUGGUCUGAGAGGAUGAUCAGCCACACUGGAACUGAGACACGGUCCAGACUCCUACGGGAGGCAGCAGUGGGGAAUAUUGCGCAAUGGGCGAAAGCCUGACCCAGCCACGCCGCGUGAGUGAUGAAGGCCCUCGGGUCGUAAAGCUCUGUGGAGAGGGACGAAAACCCUGGUUUCAAAUAGGCUCCAGGCUUGACGGUACCUCUUUAGCAAGCACCGGCUAACUCUGUGCCAGCAG